This is a small nuclear RNA of Rattus norvegicus (Norway rat), 63 nucleotides long. Ensembl annotates it as U7 small nuclear RNA. NCBI's taxonomy places the organism in Eukaryota, Metazoa, Chordata, Mammalia, Rodentia, Muridae. The record is from Ensembl.
GAGAGCUAACAGCUCUUUUAGAAAUUUUCUGGAGGAUUUUCUGAUUUGGGUUAGAAAAUCUGA